RNAcentral lists this ribosomal RNA (463 nucleotides) under uncultured bacterium. RNAcentral's name for it is "partial 16S ribosomal RNA". It matches the Rfam family "Bacterial small subunit ribosomal RNA", at positions 29 to 507 of the family's 1533-position model. The record is from RNAcentral.
AGUGAACGCUGGCGGCGUGCUUAAUACAUGCAAGUCGAACGAUGAAGUCCUAGCUUGCUAGGAUGGAUUAGUGGCGCACGGGUGAGUAAUAUAUAGUUAAUCUGCCUUGCACUGAGGAACAACAGUUGGAAACGAUUGCUAAUACCUCAUACUCCAACUUUACACAAGUUAAGUUGGGAAAGUCUUUUCGGUGCAAGAUGAGACUAUAUCGUAUCAGCUAGUUGGUAAGGUAAUGGCUUACCAAGGCUAUGACGCGCAACUGGUCUGAGAGGAUGAUCAGUCACAUGGGAACUGAGACACGGUCCAAACUCCUACGGGAGGCAGCAGUAAGGAAUAUUGUGCAAUGGGGGAAACCCUGACGCAGCAACGCCGCGUGGAGGAUGACACUUUUCGGAGCGUAAACUCCUUUUGUUAGGGAAGAAUAAUGACGGUACCUAACGAAUAAGCACCGGCUAACUCCGUG